AAAGAUUCAAUGGUGAUUGAACUAAUUUUAAGGGUUCAAUCGACUUUUAAAAGGCCUCCUAAGCCUUGCACUGCUGUAAACAAGAAUGGAAAUCUAUAUAGUUAUUUGCCUGAUCCAAAUUUAUAUGGCUGGGUUGCUUGGGGUGACGAUUAUACAACAGAAGGUGCUUGGAAUAAUAUGUGUGAGGGAAAGGGGAAGUAAUGAAGACUAUAUAUCAACUUAGAUCUUACUAAAGAAUAAACACAGGGUACCAAGGAACGUGUACCAAGGAAUGUGUAGCUAAUCUAGCUGAUGAAAUUGACAUGAAAAAUAAAAAAAUUGAAUGAGCUGAAAAAUAAAAGUGUAUCUAAAAAUAAAAAUCUAUCACUCGUUGUUGAAAAGAAAAAUAGUAAAGUGGAAUGGAGCUGGACACUUUGCUAGGUAACUGCGACUAGGUAACAUGGCCUGAAUGAUGACCCACAAAGUGCAGGAUCAGAACUCGAAGAAAGCAGCUUUGCGAGCACCGAGGGAUGGUAAGUUGGUUAGUUAGGAACAUAGCUUAAACCAACAACUCCUGAUGUAAAAAUAAGGGAUCAAGCCAAGGUGGUAAUUUUUGAAGUCAAACUUGUAUCCCAGGCCUUCUACUUGUGGUUCUGGUCAGGUUAAAGGCAGUGGAAACAAAAAUUCAUGGG
Molecule: long non-coding RNA, 671 nt
Filed under: Capsicum annuum
Lineage: Eukaryota; Viridiplantae; Streptophyta; Magnoliopsida; Solanales; Solanaceae
Description: long non-coding RNA (CANN_LNC021095)
Source: RNAcentral